This 338-nucleotide unclassified non-coding RNA is filed under the name soil metagenome. Its description in RNAcentral is "partial contains 5.8S ribosomal RNA, internal transcribed spacer 2, and large subunit ribosomal RNA". The stretch from base 1 to 120 matches the Rfam family "5.8S ribosomal RNA", at positions 35 to 154 of the family's 154-position model. The record is from RNAcentral.
GAUGAAGAACGUAGCGAAAUGCGAUAAGUAAUGUGAAUUGCAGAAUUCAGUGAAUCAUCGAAUCUUUGAACGCACAUUGCGCCCGGCAGUACUCUGCCGGGCAUGCCUGUUCGAGCGUCAUUUCAACCCUCAAGCCCUGCUUGGUGUUGGGGCCCCACGGCUGCCGUGGGCCCUGAAAGGAAGUGGCGGGCUCGCUACAACUCCGAGCGUAGUAAUUCAUUAUCUCGCUUAGGGCGUUGGGCGGCGCUCCAGCCGUUAAAGAACCAUCUAUAACUCAAGGUUGACCUCGGAUCAGGUAGGAAUACCCGCUGAACUUAAGCAUAUCAAUAAGCGGAGGA